UACUACAUAACCGAAGCUGUGAACAGAUUCUUCAACCCGGAGCCCGCCAACAUCCCCGCCAACGUCCCCGCCAACGUCCCCGCCAACGUCCCCGCCAACGCCAGCGAGCGCGUCGACUCUGGUCCCACCGGAGGUGAUGCCGGCGCAAGGAUCGCCGACGAGGAGCGGCCUCCUGCGACAGCCUCUCUGCUGAGCUCAUCACGGCCACUUGUUGCCUGGGAAUUUUGCACCACAGAAAUCGACUUAGGAGCUGAAGAAAACGUGGCACACGAAGCCCAGCCGAGCGGAGGCACACAGAGAAAAGCAUCCGGGCAAAGUGAGGGCGCGUGCGGAGGACACGUGGGAAAUGAGGAUGCCACGCGGCCGAUCGCAGAUGAAGACGAACGAGAAGAAAACCGGGAACGUACCUUGAGCGCCGGCAGGAGGGAUGAUGAUGAUGAUGAUGAUGAUGGUGGUGGUGGUCAUGGGGAACAUGCAAACACCAGGUGGCAAAAUCUCACAGGUGAUGCAAUGAGUGACGACGUGGAGGAAAGUGGGAGAGAAGCCGGAGACAAAGAGGAGACAAAGAGGGCAGUGACACCGGAGCAUUUUGAAGAGAUGGGUGAAGCCGUGAGAAAUAUCCAUGGAAAGGAAGCAGAAAAUAAAAUGGAGCACAAAGAUGAAAAAGGUUUACAGAACACAGACAUCGGGGUAAAUAUAUGUCCGAUCACAGAUUUGAGUGCAGAAGAAGGGGAUGAGGUGCAUGUGCAUGAAGCGGAGUCAACGGAGACGCAUGAGGAAGUAGAAGAUACAAAACCAUUUGAAAUCCAACAGGAUUUCAGGGGAGACGCAGAGUUCACCUCACUGCACGUCGAUCUACAAACGGCCCGCGACAAUAGCGACAUCGAGUCCGAGGAUGAGUCAUACGCUGUUGAGGGCGAUGGCGUUGAGAAGGCGAAGGAGGCGGAUGCUGUCAUUGAGGAGGAAUAUGAGAAAGAGGACUCAAACCACCGCACAACAGAGCCGGAGGNNNNNNNNNNNNNNNNNNNNNNNNNNNNNNNNNNNNNNNNNNNNNNNNNNNNNNNNNNNNNNNNNNNNNNNNNNNNNNNNNNNNNNNNNNNNNNNNNNNNGGCAAAGUGAGGGCGCGUGCGGAGGACACGUGGGAAAUGAGGAUGCCGCGCGGCCGACUGCAGAUAAAGACGAACGUGAAGAAAACGGGGAACGUACCUUGAGCGCCGGCGGGAGGGAUGAUGAUGAUGGUGGUCAUGGGGAACAUGCAAACACCAGGUGGCUAAAUCUCACAGGUGAUGCAAUGAGUGACGACGUGGAGGAAAGUGGGAGAGAAGCCGGAGACAAAGAGGAGACAAAGAGGGCAGUGACACCGGAGGAUCUUGAAGAGAUGGGUGAAGCCAUGAGAAAUAUCCAUGGAAAGGAAGCGGAAAAUAAAAUGGAGCACAAAGAUGAAAAAGGUUUACAGAACACAGACAUCGGGGUAAAUAUAUGUCCGAUCACAGAUUUGAGUGCAGAAGAAGGGGAUGAGGUGCACGUGCAUGAAGCGGAGUCAACGGAGACGCAUGAGGAAGUAGAAGAUGGUGACGGUGUACCAGAGAUGGCCUGUAUCAAGUCUGACGAAGGAGCAAAACCAUUUGAAAUCCAACAGAACUUCAGGGGAGACGCAGAGUUCACCUCACUGCACGUCGAUCUACAAACGGCCCGCGACAAUAGCGACAUCGAGUCCGAGGAUAAGUCACACGCUGUUGAGGGCGAUGGCGUUGAGAAGGCGAAAGAGGAGGAGGCAGAUGCUGUUGUUGAGGAGGAAAAUGAGAAAGAGGACUCAAACCACCGCACAACAGAGCCGGAGGACGCCGUCGAAACCCUCGCUGGAGAAAGUGAAAGAGAAGACGUAUUGACUGAGGAUGUUCCACGCUGUGAAGAAGUCGUGCAGAAUGCUGAACCGGAGCCGCGGGCGGCUGACUUCCCGGACGCAGGACAAGUGGAUGUGGCUCCGAACGCUGACGUGCAAACCGAAAGCAGAGAGGUGGGUGAAGACGAGACAGAAGACAUGGUGGUCAAAUCUGAUGGGACAACGACGCAAACCUCAGUAAGCGCGGGACUUUUUGAAAAAGAUAAAGUAGAAGAAGAGAGGCUCCUCGGUGAAGAAGGCAAAGAAAGUUUCAUGGACGUGGCAGGUACACUUAACGCCGUUACGGUAGAAUCCGAAGGCGAGACUGCGCAGGAAAUGGCAGCAGCGAUUAAGGAUUUUCCCACGGGGAAAUUUGAAGGCCGGCUCGCUGUCUCGGCGCUCAACUUUCCAUCGUGUGAGGAAACACAAAAGGGAAUUCCUGAGUAUAACAAUGUGCCAGGGCCAGAUGAAAAUACAACACAAGUGCUCCUGGAGGAAGGAGAUUGUGAGGACGCCCAGGGCGAGGUGGGGAGCAAAGCGGCAGAGAGCCUUCAAAACAGUGGCUGUGGAACCGGUGCUGACUAUUUAGUGGUGAUGGAGCAUAUGGAAGAGGAGCAAGAGAGCGUGGGAGAUGUUAAGAACAACUUUGAUUCUGGAUUGCCUCAAGAAACAGAGAAACCGCUCCAAGCAGUAACCCGAGAAUCUGGACACUUAAUUGAGGAGGAGGAAGGAGAAUCUUUGGUUGAUUGUAUGAAGACGGCCAUCGAACACACAGAAAAGGAAUUUGAGAUGCGCAUUGGCCCAACAGACACAAUUAAUAAGGCGAAAAACGAGCCCCAAGAUGGGUUGGAAGAGAUUUUAAUUGACUUAGAAAUAGACGAAGGGUCAUGUGAUCCCAAAGGCAGCAGCAGGACGACAGGAGCUUCAGCAUCAGAGGAAACUUUCCUCAAGGCUGAAGAGCAGAAGAUGACAGAGACUAGCUCCUGUCACGUAGGUGAGCUGACCUCCGAGCAGAACAGAAACAUGGCUCCUAGUUCACUGGAAGACAUAACUGAAUCUGGAUGCUUGAAACGGCACGAUGAGACUGAGGCUGAACUACUUGAAGAUGUAAAAAGACAGGAAGCUGAUGUGAAAGAAGCAGCUAGGGAAGUUGAGCAGGUGGUUGCGGCAGAAGAUGAGAUGCAGAGCCAAAAUGAGAUGGAAUUGUCACAUCAGCAGGUCGAGGAAUCUGUUGGGUCACCGGAGAAGAGCAAUGUACAACCGGACGAAGCACUUGAGAUCAACGAUGAGACUUUAACAGACUCUGAAGCGCCUGAGGAAUCAAAGACGGCAGAGUCCAAAGCAGAAGAUUUCACUUCAGGAGUGGACGAGCGGAGUUGUGCUGAAGAAACUGUCUCCUCAUCCAGCGGAUGUCAGGGUAUGGUCGAUGACGAGGUCCAACAACAAGUAGACCCGCGGACGGGAGAACUAACGGAGCCUUACGAUGAGGAGCAAGGGGAAAUAUCGUCACUGCAGACGGAGAAGGAUGAAGACCAGCGUGUGGAGUCAAAUUCAAGGGAAUCUGAAUUGUUGGGUCACACGGAAACGUCUUCCUCAACAGUAGAGACUGGAUUUGUUCACCAGUCCGGGUCAUUUCAAAGCCUAUAUGACACGUUGGCUAUUGUCUCAGAAUCAGCAGACAUCUCCGAGCUGUCUAGCCUACAACCCAACUGUGAUAUGCGGGACACGUUGAGAGAGGAAGCGGCUGAGACGGGGCAAACGGAUCUGAAGGAGAAGGAAGAAUUCGGAGGGGCAGGAUUUCACCCCGAUUUGGAAGUCCCCUCACCAGAGGCCAGACAUCAGGGAUCCGCUGAAACUGGAUCAGGGAAUGAGAUCGAUGUCGAGGCCUCCGACUCGAAAGACGACGGAGAAGUCGAACCUCAGCCACAGACCGAAAGGAGUUUUCUUUACCAAUUUGAGAAAACCCCGACUGAAGAUGAGCCUCAAGAGUUGGCCGCGUCCGACUCUCCGGAUGAUAUUAAAGGAACAGAACCAGAACAAUCGACAUCCGGCUCAGAGGCGUUGUUAGAGGAUGAAAUAGUGCCGACGGAAUCUCGCUCACAGAGCGACGUCUGCACUGAAUCCGAGAGGAAGCUGCCCUCGGUGGACAAACCCCAGCCCGGGUGGAAUGAAGGAGUUGCCGAGUCAUCCGUUGGGCUCAACAUGGCCGACGGGGCAGAACAUUCAGCGACAACGUCUGAAGAUCAGAUGGAGGUGGAGAGCUCUGCGCUUGACUUUACCGCGCAAAGGUCAAGAAUUUCUGUUAAAAACCCACAUGUACGGCCACCCAAAGAUGCCCGCUCCCUCCUAAAUAUGCCCUCAUUGGAUCCCACACCCUCCCCACACAUGUCUCCCAAAGUCCCUGUAGGUGGGCCUUUGGGAGGCUUGGGCUUUGGAAUAAAACUCCCUGGCCUUGGUGGGGGAUUUCCUGUUUUAAAAAAGACAAAGCUGGUUGGAAGAGAUGAAAAUAGUCCCGAGACCCUAUCACAGGAGACAAAGCCAGAGGAGAGGAGUGACACCGAAGAUGAGACCCAACACAAACCAAAAUGGAUGCCACCAAGACAUCCAGGAUUUGGAAAUCCACUUAUGUCCGAGUUGAAGACCAAACUGAAGAAAACCACAAAAGAGUGAGAAGAAGAUGAAUUGUGAUUAUUGUGUGAGUGAGAAUGUAAUAUGUAAAUUGAGAUAUUUUUGGAACUGAACACAGUGAUGAAAUGUACAUGCCUUGUCAUAAAGCUUAACUAAAGAGUGGUCAUUUUACAUAGCCGUGUUUACAGCAAAUCAAGGAUUAUCUCUCUGGGGUGCGAAAGGACAACAUAAACUAUUGAGGUCCACGUGGUGGACAUGGUUGUGUCGUUGACUGAGUGAACUCAAAAUCACAAACAAUUUCGAUGUGCUAAGAAGCUUAAACUAUUUCUAUUGUGCAGCUCACAACCCCCCAACCCCCCCGGUCUUUGAAAGCUAUCUAUGUAUACCGUGCAAUUAAUAUGAAUUUAACUUGCUAGAUAUAAGAUAUGUAAUAUGUGGCGUACAUAUUUACAAUUUAUUUUGGAAUUCACCAUAAUAAAAAAACAAAAAAAUCUAUUCAAUUUAAAAUGUAAUUUUAUCAAGACAGUAGGUGGCAGUACUACACCAUAACAUGGACAUUCAUUUUAAACACAUGAAGAAGAAACGUUUAGCUGUGAUUGGUCGGAAUUAACCAAUCGACGUGAAGGAAGCUAGUGACGUGUUUUGAACCAGAGCGGCGCUGCAGUUGUGAGUAACUUUAUGAACUUUUCGAUGUUGAGUUUGACACACUGUUGUUCGAUUGGUACGUGUUUCCGUACACGGAUUCGAAUGAAUAAAGAACACUAAUUAAAAGUAUUUCCACGAAUAUAAACCUCCACCAAGAAGCGUCCGGGCUGUUGAGGUAAAGAUGUUUCCGUUCCACCAGCUAACGUUAACACGCUAGCGUUAGCUUAGCCUCCUCUGGGACUGUUUCAUGACAGAGCGUAACGUCGCUAACGUCUCCGUGACCUCUCGAGAUGAAUCUUCAAUAAUUCUUUCUAUCCGCGCGAACUGCGCUGUCUGUGCUCCAGCGUAGUCGGCUGACAUUGCGGUAUUAUUGAAAGACAACAAGGUCAUAUGUCUUCUGCCUCGCUAAACUGAAGGGAAACACAUGUUCAUGUCUGAUCAUAAUUUGCAACCGACACCGGUCAGCGCAUGACCUUUGUCUCUGCUAAUACAGUUUUUUAAAAUUGUCUUAUUGUGUAAACAAGGCGUUUGUUUUGUUGACUGUAACAUAGCCCAGUCGUAAAUCCAGAUUGAUAUGAGAGCUGUAAAUACUUGUGACAUUUUCCCGAUGUAAGUUACGUCAUCUGGUAAUGUCAGUUUUUUUUGUGUGGAUUAAGUCGUUGCAGGCCCGGAGGGUCCUAAUGAACAGCUGGAAAAUGUCUUCUCAGCUGUCAUUCAAUGUCCCAGAUGAAAGCGUGUGCUGGCUGCACGAGGAAUGCUUGCCAGAAGUGACCUUCCUUGAUGUUACAUGUAGUUCACCUCAUCCUGCAGGAAUACCUGCUACACCUGUAACAACCGGGUCUGUGAACAGCAGGUUGAACUCGCUCCAGCCCCCCCAGUCGAGUUCCUCCAUCGACUUACACACCCCUGCUCAGAAAAAGACGCCGGAUCUUCUCAAAUGUUGUUUGAGCCAUCCGAAGGCGGAGAGUGAGGCUAUCGGUGCUAAACCUUCACGACAGAAUGGAACAACAACCUUGUUGGAAACGAGCUCAAGUGACGUUGCUCAAGAAAACUGUUCUGAAUUCCACUCUUCUGAACUGUCAGUCUCUUGCGAUAAGAUGGUUGAUCCCCUUGAGAGUAUGUAUCGUCCGGAGCGCUUUCUGGAUUCCCGAUACUUCCCAGAAAUUACUCUGCUGGAUGUCACGCGUGAAUCAGAGCCCACAGACGGAGCAGAAACCUCUUCAAUGCAUGUCACGCAAGAGAACAUUUUGGAAAGCUCUAGGACCUCGUCGGAGCACAGUGGAUCAAACGAGGUAAAGGUUCACACAUCGGGUGAAGACACAUUUGAUACGCAUCCUUCCAAUGUUACUCAAGACAUAAGCUCCUCGAGUGUUGUGACUGUUCAGUGUGCUGCGUCGGAGUUCUCCACUUCUGACACGCAGUGCGACACCAGUUCAAAGAACGUCGCCUCGGAGCUUCAUGGUGGAUCGAGCACCGAGGAAGCUAACAACAAAGAGCCGCUUUCCUGCCACGAGGCCGAGGAGUUGACAAGCGAGGAGGCGCAGCCGCGCCCGGAAACGUGUGGGUCUGUGAGCAGCGCGUUAACUGCUCUCCAGUCCUCCCAUUCCAGUUCUUCCACCAAUUUAAACACCACUGUUCAAAUACCCAACCCUAAGAAUAUGACAGUGGAUCUUACCCCGUCUAAUGCAAACAGCCCCAAAGGAGAGAGCGAGCCUACAGAUCCGGCUACUUCGGUCUCUAAGGACGCCACUGAAACCUCCCUCUGUAUUAAUCGAACUUUCCCGGCCGUAAAGGCAACAGGUUCGUCUGAUGUGCAGAACAGCAUUUCUGAUGGAAAUUGCCUUCGAAUAUCCUGCGGUAAUACUUUUAUAGGAAACGCUGGCUCUGGGACCCUUCUUCUCCAGAACAACACCUUCGAUGCUAAACCUCCCAAGCAGAACGACACAAUAACUUUGUCAGAAACGAGCCUCCAGAACACUUUUGACAAGUCCACUCCUCCUGGGGUUUGUAAUGCAACGAGUACCCCUAAAGAAAGCAGUUCCAAAGCCCAACCCCCCGAAGAUGAUGGGACAUCAUCGAGCACAGUCCCUAAUACAGAGACGGCUGACACCCCUGACUGCAUGUUGGAAGUUAGUCCAGCGGUUGAAGUGGCUUCUGGCGAUGGUCAAUGCGAGACUACGAACCGAUCACGAUCCAGUCUGCCUUUGACAAAUGGGCUCUCUGACACUUUGGGCCUUCAAAACAUGGAAACGGAAAACAACAAUGAAAACACGUUCAAUUUGGAUGAAUCCCUGGAUUUAAGGGCAGCCAUUUCGAUCACUUCGACGCCGAUGACCACCUGUAAGAUUUUAAGCGUAACCGCCGAACGAGUGGAGGGCAAAACGAUAGCGGCGCAGAAAAGGCUGUAUGGGGAUGGUCCCGCUUUGCCAGCUGGUCCGACGCCAUCAGAUGUUCCGUCAAACAUCGUCUGCGACCGCAAAACGACCUUUGCCCAUCCAGCGGCCAAAUCCCUCCUGCCUCCUUUCAGAGCUGCGUCCCAGCCUUUGAGGCAGAAGCCAGGCGCCGCCGCCCUCCCCGCGAGGUUUGAUGCGUCGACUUCAGGCCUGCCCAUGACGAGGCAAAGGACCCAGGCUGUAGCAGCGAAGAACACGCUUAAUGCAGCCCAGGUAACAGGAUUUGAUUUGCCUUUUUUAAACAAAAAAAGUGUCAACGGCACAUUGUGUUUUAAAGAAAUUGAUCGAUGAACUUGUUUGUCAUGUCAGUUACACCUAAACUCACUUAUUGACUCCAUUUCCUGUUUAUUUAAGGCCACAGGAGUAUCAAGCUCCUACAAAUUGCGGGCUUCUACAACAGGUAGGCGGUGUGUGUGUUCCAUUUUAGGGCUUCUUAUGGUUGCAGUUUUAUCCUUCAUACACGUUGAGGGUAAAUUAAAACCGGAUGGGAUGGGAAUUGUACACAUAUCUUAACUAAAUGAGGAAAUAUUACAACUUUUAGGUAUUUUUUCUUCUUGCUGAUUUAAUUUCUGUGCUGCUUUUAGCCGCACAGAGUAUUCAGUCCUCACUCUCCCCCCUCUGUGCUGACGUUAGGAUUGAAGAUACCCAAUUCAGGCUUGCCGAGACCUCAGUUGAGUGGCAUACCGUCAGGCAUCCAGAGACCUGCAGCAGGUCUCAGGCCGCCAUCAGCUAGAAGCAACGCAGCAUCAUCGUCAUCAUCACACGCUAACAGACCCCGUGGACCGACAGGUACUCGUACAGUGGUGGACUGUUUAUUCAGUUACAAAUAAGACCAAAUACACGUGUGUAACAAUGAAUUAACAUAAAUUUGAAUUUCUUUUGUGUUUUUUUUCCUUUUUUUUUUUUUUUUUUCACCCACAAGCAGCUGCUAACCCAAUGACGAAGGCUACACAUUCAAAGAAGCAGCCCUUAGCCAGAGGUGAAACUUUAGCAAAGAAGAAAAGAAUGGGUAAUAAAAGCUUUCAACCAACCCUUUUUUUCUAUUUCAAAGAACUGCACGGUUAGUAUUUCUACUAAAGCUAAACUAUAAACUCCUACAUCUUAAAUUGUUUUUUUAUGGUUUUCAAAACCGGGGCUUGUAUGUUUCUGGGAAAGUGUGUCCAGUACUCUUGACUUUAUGACUUUAUUUUUGCGUUACUCACCAGAUCUUUAUCACACGCUUUCAGAUCCAUCCAGCACGUCUGCGUUAUCCAGCUCUGCUGCCGAGGUCUCAACGUGUUGCGAUGCUGUCGGCAGACACAAGGCCCUGAAACAGCCCGCGACCAGCCAUCAAGCUCUGCAAGCCAAAGGAAAAGGCCACG
This is a long non-coding RNA of Gasterosteus aculeatus (three-spined stickleback), 8969 nucleotides long. NCBI's taxonomy places the organism in Eukaryota, Metazoa, Chordata, Actinopteri, Perciformes, Gasterosteidae. The record is from Ensembl.